RNAcentral lists this ribosomal RNA (640 nucleotides) under embryophyte environmental sample. RNAcentral describes it as "eukaryotic LSU rRNA". The stretch from base 244 to 399 matches the Rfam family "5.8S ribosomal RNA". Lineage: Eukaryota; Viridiplantae; Streptophyta. The record is from RNAcentral.
AAGGAGAAGUCGUAACAAGGUUUCCGUAGGUGAACCUGCGGUCGAACCCUGCAAGGCAGAACGACCUGUGAACACGUAAAUACAAUUGGGUGCGGGGUGCUGUGCUUGCCCGGUGCUCGCACUAGGUGGGCUAACGAAUCCCGGCGCGGCAAGCGCCAAGGAAAACAAAAAUAGAAUCGUUGCCCCUUUGGCUCCCGUCCGCGGUGUGGCCAUGGGGAUGCAGCGUAUCUUGAAAGUCUAAACGACUCUCGGCAACGGAUAUCUCGGCUCUCGCAUCGAUGAAGAACGUAGCGAAAUGCGAUACUUGGUGUGAAUUGCAGAAUCCCGUGAACCAUCGAGUCUUUGAACGCAAGUUGCGCCCGACGCCUUCGGGCUGAGGGCACGCCUGCCUGGGCGUCACGCAUCGCGUCGUCCCCUCCCAUUCCCUCACGGGUUUGGUUAUGGGACGGAUAAUGGCUUCCCGUUAGCUCGGUUAGCCCAAAAAGGAUCCCUCAUCGACGGAUGUCACAACCAGUGGUGGUUGAAAGAUCAUUGGUGCUGUUGUGCUUCACCCUGUCGCUUGCUAGGGCAUCGUCAUAAACUAACGGCGUGUAAUGCGCCUUCGACCGCGACCCCAGGUCAGACGGGACUACCCGCUGAG